Molecule: ribosomal RNA, 440 nt
Filed under: uncultured bacterium
Lineage: Bacteria
Description: partial 16S ribosomal RNA
Rfam family: Bacterial small subunit ribosomal RNA
Source: RNAcentral
CCUACGGGGGGCUGCAGUGGGGAAUAUUGGACAAUGGGCGCAAGCCUGAUCCAGCCAUGCCGCGUGAGUGAUGAAGGCCCUAGGGUUGUAAAGCUCUUUCGCCAGGGACGAUAAUGACGGUACCUGGAUAAGAAGCCCCGGCUAACUUCGUGCCAGCAGCCGCGGUAAUAAGAAGGGGGCUAGCGUUGUUCGGAAUCACUGGGCGUAAAGCGCACGUAGGCGGAUUUUUAAGUCAGGGGUGAAAUCCCGAGGCUCAACCUCGGAACUGCCUUUGGUACGGGGGAGCUAGAGUCCGGGAGAGGUGAGUGGAACUGCGAGUGUAGAGGGGAAAUUCGUAGAUAUUCGCAAGAACACCAGUGGCGAAGGCGGCUCACUGGCCCGGAACUGACGCUGAGGUGCGAAAGCGUGGGGAGCAAACAGGAUUAGAUACCCUAGUAGUC